CUGGGCUGGGGCACGCAGCACACUCACUCGUCGGCUUUGGGACCCCCCUGUCUCGAAACGCCGACAACUGUGAUAAAAUGUCAUGUGUGACUGCAUCAUGGGAAAAAUGGGCUGUGAUGGAAUUUUCUGCAGGUACACUAACCUCGAAAACGUAUGUGUAGCUGACGACUAGCAAAAUACCGUGAGAGUUGUAAGUAUGCCACCGAUAUAGAACGUUAUUGCCACAUUAUAUUGGCAAAAAUCAGUGAGGACGCAUAGGAUGAGCAUGCAUCCUUAUUGUUGCAUCAUGUUUGUCACCUAUACACCCAAAAUGCUUCUCUCAUCUUUAUUCCAGUAACCAUUGAUUGUAGAUAAUAUGGUGUAAUGUUGAAUUAUGAGCUUAUGAUGAAAUAGGUGUCCUCCAUUCAUUAAGAGACCUCUUAGGGUGCUUUAUGUGCUUGCUCUUGUGUUUGAUGUGCCGAUAGAAAGUUGGUAAUUGAUUGCCUAAACCCAAAACUAGGCCAUGUUCUUAUUUAGUGAACCAUGACCCAAAGUUGAUUUUUCCGUUAUCACUCCAUGACCAGACAUAUAAAAAUAAAUGCCUAGAUAAUUUCUUUGUUGGACCUAAAGUGUACCCAGACUUAAAAAAAAUCUCAAGUCAUGUCUCCUUCUAGAGCCAUUCCCUUAUUCAGUUGAUGCAGGUUGAGGUCUCUAUUGUGUUUGGUCUCUCCUUGCGGAUUAUCUUAUCCCUUGUCAACCUGACCUAGAAAAGACCUGUCCGAGUAUUCUCUUGAAUUUGAUGCCUUUGGUUUCACCAUAUCUAUCAAAGGCAUACCAACUUAAUUUGAUGAUUGUUUUCCCUUCGUAUCUAAUCAGAUACUAAUCCUUGACCUUGUAAUCUCUAUGAUGGGCAUAGAAAUAUGCCUGGGGCUGAAUUAACAGUCUCCCAUCAUACUCCCUUCAUCAACCAAUUUAGGUUAUGGCCGUGUUUUGUUCAUUUCAUCGGGUCAUAAUCUAUUUGGCUCUCUACUUGUAACCAUUCUUACAGGUGGAGUUUCUCCUUGUAUAUUGUCACCCU
This 1057-nucleotide long non-coding RNA is filed under the name Zea mays. RNAcentral's name for it is "drought responsive lncRNA". Lineage: Eukaryota; Viridiplantae; Streptophyta; Magnoliopsida; Poales; Poaceae. The record is from RNAcentral.